Molecule: unclassified non-coding RNA, 1509 nt
Filed under: Hevea brasiliensis (rubber tree)
Lineage: Eukaryota; Viridiplantae; Streptophyta; Magnoliopsida; Malpighiales; Euphorbiaceae
Source: RNAcentral
GGACAGUUGUUGAAAUUUAUCCACCUAUAAAGUGAAGAAUCAUUCCAAUGGCUCAAUUGAGAGGUACAAGGCUCGCCUAGUUGCUCGUGGGUUUUCUCAGCAAUGUGGCCUGGACUAUGACGAGACAUUCAGUCCAGUAGCAAAGGUUACUACAGUUCAUGUCUUAUUAGUGCUACCUGCUAAUAAGUCUUGGAAGUUAUGGAAAAUGGAUGUGAAGAAUGUCUUCCUCCAUGGAGAAAUUGAUCGAGAUAUUUAUAUGGAGCAGCCUAGAGGAUUCAUAAAUCAAGACAAACCUAACUUUGUUUGCAAGCUGAAAAAAGCUCUUUAUGGACUAAAGCAGGCACCACGAGCAUAGUAUGGGAAGAUAGCCGAGUUCCUUGAGCAAAGUGGAUACAACGUGACACCUGCUGACUCAAGUCUCUUUGUCAAAGCUAAAUGAGAUAAACUAGCAAUAGUGCUAGUUUACGUGGACGAUCUUAUCAUAACAGGAGACGAUGAAGAAGAAAUUCCCCAAAUACGAGGUAACUUAUUUGUUCGUUUUCAAAUUAACGAAUCUGGAGAACUCAGACAUUUCCUUGGGCUCGAGGUGGAUUGCACAAAUGAUGGUUUGUUCCUGUGCCAAAGGAAGUAUGUUAGAGACCUCCUAGAAAAAUUUGGAAUGAUGGAGUGCAAGCCAAUCAGUACAUCCAUGGAGAUUAAUGCCAGGCUAUGCAUUAAAUAAGGAAAAGAUUUUGAGAACACCACAAUGUAUCGACAAUUGGCAGGUAGUUUGAUCUACCUAACCAUGACUCGACCUGACAUAUCUUUUGCCAUAGGGGUUGUUAGUCACUUCAUGCAGAAUCUGAAGAAGCCUCAUUUGGAAGCUGUGCGAAGAAUACUGAAGUACUUCAAAGGUACUAUCAAUUUUGGACUUAUAUACAGGAAAGGGGGGAGCUGCAAGAUUAUCGGAUAUUGUGAUGCUGACUAUGGAGGUGACCAUGAUACAAGACGGUCUGCUACUGGCUAUGUUUUCACUCUUAGAUCGGGUGCAAUAUCAUGGUGCCGUAUCAUUAUCAACUACCGAAGCUGAGUAUAGAGCAGCAGCAAUGAUAUCUCAAGAAAGUACGUGGCUACUACAAUUGAUAAAUGAUCUACAUCAGGUCAUUGAUUUUCCUGUGACACUACAUUGUGAUAAUCAAUCUAUUAUACGCCUGGUGAAGAAUCCAGUGUUUCAUGCUCAAACAAAACAUAUAGAGAUACACUAUCACUUUGUUCGAGAAAAGGUGUUACAAGGAGAUAUUGAGCUAUAUUCGAUUAAGUAGCAAGACCAAGUCACCAACAUAUUCACGAAGAGUUUAAGCCCUAUCAAUUUUGUCGAGUUUCGAGAACAACUUGGCAUGAAAAAGGAGAGUCAGUGCUGAGGGGGAGUAUUGAAAAAUCAUCAAUGCCUCUCUCUAUCUAGAAUUCUCUCCCUUGGCUAUCAAGCAUUAAUCGCCAUUCAAGAAAGUUCUCUGCACUAGCAAUUCAAGU